GUCCUACGGGAGGCAGCAGUGGGGAAUUUUGGACAAUGGGCGCAAGCCUGAUCCAGCAAUGCCGCGUGCAGGAUGAAGGCCUUCGGGUUGUAAACUGCUUUUGUACGGAACGAAAAAGCUCUCUCUAAUACAGGGGGUGAAUGACGGUACCGUAAGAAUAAGCACCGGCUAACUACGUGCCAGCAGCCGCGGUAAUACGUAGGGUGCAAGCGUUAAUCGGAAUUACUGGGCGUAAAGCGUGCGCAGGCGGGUUUGUAAGACAGAGGUGAAAGCCCCGGGCUCAACCUGGGAACUGCCUUUGUUACUGCAAAGCUGGAGUGCGGCAGAGGGGGAUGGAAUUCCGCGUGUAGCAGUGAAAUGCGUAGAUAUGCGGAGGAACACCGAUGGCGAAGGCAAUCCCCUGGGCCUGCACUGACGCUCAUGCACGAAAGCGUGGGGAGCAAACAGGAUUAGAUACCCUUGUAGUCCG
This 469-nucleotide ribosomal RNA is filed under the name uncultured Comamonas sp. RNAcentral describes it as "bacterial SSU rRNA". It matches the Rfam family "Bacterial small subunit ribosomal RNA", at positions 335 to 797 of the family's 1533-position model. The record is from RNAcentral. Lineage: Bacteria; Pseudomonadati; Pseudomonadota; Betaproteobacteria; Burkholderiales; Comamonadaceae.